CCCUAGGGAAUCUGGCCUGGGUAGUGGGGGGAUAACGUCCGGAAACGGGCGCUAAUACCGCAUACGUCCUGAGGGAGAAAGUGGGGGAUCUUCGGACCUCACGCUAUCAGAUGAGCCUAGGUCGGAUUAGCUAGUUGGUGGGGUAAAGGCCUACCAAGGCGACGAUCCGUAACUGGUCUGAGAGGAUGAUCAGUCACACUGGAACUGAGACACGGUCCAGACUCCUACGGGAGGCAGCAGUGGGGAAUAUUGGACAAUGGGCGAAAGCCUGAUCCAGCCAUGCCGCGUGUGUGAAGAAUGUCUACUGAUUGUGAAGCACUUUAAGUUGGGACGAAGGGGAGAACAGUAAUAGAGGAACAG
This 360-nucleotide ribosomal RNA is filed under the name Pseudomonas aeruginosa. RNAcentral's name for it is "bacterial SSU rRNA". It matches the Rfam family "Bacterial small subunit ribosomal RNA", at positions 115 to 475 of the family's 1533-position model. Lineage: Bacteria; Pseudomonadati; Pseudomonadota; Gammaproteobacteria; Pseudomonadales; Pseudomonadaceae. The record is from RNAcentral.